RNAcentral lists this ribosomal RNA (356 nucleotides) under uncultured Glomeraceae. RNAcentral describes it as "SSU rRNA". It matches the Rfam family "Eukaryotic small subunit ribosomal RNA", at positions 569 to 929 of the family's 1831-position model. Lineage: Eukaryota; Fungi; Glomeromycota; Glomeromycetes; Glomerales; Glomeraceae. The record is from RNAcentral.
AGCAGCCGCGGUAAUUCCAGCUCCAAUAGCGUAUAUUAAAGUUGUUGCAGUUAAAAAGCUCGUAGUUGAAUUUCGGGAUCAUCAGGUUGGUCGUGCCUCUGGUAUGUACUGAUUUCGAUGGUUCCUCCUUCUUGAAGAACCGUAAUGCCAUUAAUUUGGUGUUGCGGGGAAACAGGACUGUUACUUUGAAAAAAUUAGAGUGUUUAAAGCAGGCAAUCGCUUGAAUACAUUAGCAUGGAAUAAUGAAAUAGGACGUUCGAUCCUAUUUUGUUGGUUUCUAGGAUUGACGUAAUGAUUAAUAGGGAUAGUUGGGGGCAUUAGUAUUCAAUUGUCAGAGGUGAAAUUCUUGGAGUUAU